Molecule: transfer RNA, 73 nt
Filed under: Mus musculus (house mouse)
Lineage: Eukaryota; Metazoa; Chordata; Mammalia; Rodentia; Muridae
Description: tRNA-Gly
Source: RNAcentral
GGCAAGAUGGCUCAGCAGGUAAGAGUGCUGACUGCCCUUCCAAAGGUCCUGAGUUCAAAUCCCAGCAAUGACA